UGCUCCGGAACGGUGAUUGGUCUGUUUAGGCACGGAAGGCGGGAACAACAGUCUUGGCUCUGAUUGGAGGGAUCGUCAAACAUUGAAGUUUUUUUUUAGUUCCCUGACUUGGAUGGCUCAGAAACUAGCUUUACUACUACUACGUAGCCCCGACUGUCCUGGAACUCGGUGAUUAGACCAGGCUGGUCUCGAACUCACUGCCUGUGCCUCCCGAGUGCAGGGAUUUAAGGUGUGAAAACAGACUCCGCCGUUGAGUGCCACGUGGCAAAUCUGGUCCUCCUGACUCCAAAAGCAAGGACCGAGUGGAAAAAGGAAAAGGCCGGGAAAGACGAAUACAAAGCCCUGUGGUGUGGCUCACGCCCUGAAUCCCAGCGCUCUGGAGGCAGAGGCAGGCAGACCUCUGUGAGUUCAAGGCCAGCCUGUUCUACAGAGCGAGAUCCAGGACAGCCAGUGCUACAUAGAGAAACCCUGUCUCAAAACAAAAACAACAACAACAACAAAAAAAAAAAAACCCUAGCUUUCGAUAGGUUGACACCCCAAAGUUGUUCAGGGUGACAGGAGACACGAAGAGGAGUCGAGAAUGCGGCAUAGAGGGAAGACAGGAUAGAGGUGGAAUGAAUGAAUUAGUGUUGGGGCUGGAGAUGUAGGCCAGCUGGUAGGGUGCUUGCCUAACAGGGCUCAGUGGAUAAAGUGCCUGCUACCCAAGUACCUGGGUUUAAGUCCCCAGCACCCAUGGCAAUGCCAGGCAAUGCACCUGUGACCUCAGCACUGGGGGAACAUAGACCCAAGAAUCCAUGGAGCUGGCUGGCCAUCCAGUCUAGCCCAGACAGCGUGCUCCAAGUUCAUUGAGCUAUAAGGGAAAUAGAUGUUUUAUAUUAAACAUCCCAUAAUUAACAACAAAGAAGUAGAGAAAUAUUUACAUUGUUUUUUUCCGUUCUAAGAUGCAUCCUCCCUCCCACCCGCCCACUUCCUGAGCAGCAAGGCAAAAAACGGCAAAUGUAAACCCUAACCUUCAGUUCCCAAGGAAAUGGAGCAAAAGCUAUUACAGAAAAGAAAGCUGAACCUUUAAUGUAGCAGCCUUAUUUGCCCAACAGAGCUGGAGCUAAGAGCUCAUGGGGAACUCCACCAUCAAAGGCUAGAUAAAUAAAAGUGACUUUAAUUUAUU
This is a non-coding RNA of Peromyscus maniculatus bairdii (prairie deer mouse), 1165 nucleotides long. Lineage: Eukaryota; Metazoa; Chordata; Mammalia; Rodentia; Cricetidae. The record is from RefSeq and is a predicted model, not a curated record.